Molecule: ribosomal RNA, 323 nt
Filed under: uncultured Imbricatea
Lineage: Eukaryota; Cercozoa; Imbricatea
Description: SSU rRNA
Rfam family: Eukaryotic small subunit ribosomal RNA (bases 107-323)
Source: RNAcentral
GAUUUCUGGCUCGUUGUCCUAGCCCGCUUGCUUCGGUGGGUGAGUGCUGGUACAAUCUGCCAUCCUUCCAGAGAGCCAUGAGUACCCUUUACUGGGCCGCUCGUGUGCGAUCUGGAUCAUUUACUUUGAAAAAAUUAGAGUGUUUCAAGCAGGCUUUAUGCUAUGAAUACAUUAGCAUGGAAUAAUAAUUUAGGACUUCGGUUCUAUUUUGUUGGUUUCUAGGACUGAAGUAAUGAUUGAUAGGGAUAGUUGGGGGUGCUAGUAUUCAGCGGCCAGAGGUGAAAUUCUCGGAUUCGCUGAAGACUAACUUAUGCGAAAGCAUU